This 426-nucleotide ribosomal RNA is filed under the name uncultured prokaryote. Its description in RNAcentral is "bacterial SSU rRNA". It matches the Rfam family "Bacterial small subunit ribosomal RNA", at positions 355 to 774 of the family's 1533-position model. The record is from RNAcentral.
UGGGGAAUCUUGCGCAAUGGGCGAAAGCCUGACGCAGCAACGCCGCGUGAGCGAAGAAGGCCUUCGGGUUGUAAAGCUCUGUCAGGAGGAAAGAAGGCACCUGGGUCAACAGCCCAAGGGCUGACGGUACCUCCAAAGGAAGCCACGGCUAACUACGUGCCAGCAGCCGCGGUAAUACGUAGGUGGCAAGCGUUGUCCGGAAUCAUUGGGCGUAAAGAGCGCGUAGGUGGCUUGUCAGGUCUGAUGUGAAAACCUGGGGCUUAACUCCAGGCCUGCAUCAGAAACCGGCUUGCUAGAGUCUGGGAGAGGGGAGUGGAAUUCCUGGUGUAGCGGUGAAAUGCGUAGAUAUCAGGAGGAACACCGGUAGCGAAGGCGGCUCUCUGGAACAGUACUGACGCUGAGGCGCGAAAGCUAGGGGAGCGAACA